Molecule: ribosomal RNA, 234 nt
Filed under: uncultured Glomus
Lineage: Eukaryota; Fungi; Glomeromycota; Glomeromycetes; Glomerales; Glomeraceae
Description: partial 18S ribosomal RNA
Rfam family: Eukaryotic small subunit ribosomal RNA
Source: RNAcentral
UUGGAGGGCAAGUCUGGUGCCAGCAGCCGCGGUAAUUCCAGCUCCAAUAGCGUAUAUUAAAGUUGUUGCAGUUAAAAAGCUCGUAGUUGAAUUUCGGGAUCAAUAUGUCGGUCGUGCCUCGGUACGUACUGGCAUCAUUGGUUUCUCCCUUCUGAUGAACCAUAAUGCCAUUAAUUUGGUGUUGUGGGGAAUCAGGACUGUUACUUUGAAAAAAUUAGAGUGUUUAAAGCAGGC